RNAcentral lists this ribosomal RNA (292 nucleotides) under uncultured bacterium. Its description in RNAcentral is "partial 16S ribosomal RNA". It matches the Rfam family "Bacterial small subunit ribosomal RNA", at positions 773 to 1060 of the family's 1533-position model. The record is from RNAcentral.
GUGGAUUAGAUACCCGAGUAGUCCUGGCUGUAAACGGUGCGCGCUUGGUGUGGGAUGGUUUGACCUAUCCUGUGCCGGAGCAAACGCGUUAAGCGCGCCGCCUGGGAAGUACGAUCGCAAGAUUAAAACUCAAAGAAAUUGACGGGGACCCGCACAAGCGGUGGAGUAUGUGGCUUAAUUCGAUGCAACGCGAAGAACCUUACCUGGGCUCGACAUGCAUCUCUAAUCGCGUGAAAGCGCGAGAUUGGGGAAACCCAAAAUUUGCACAGGUGCUGCACGGUCGUCGUCAACU